Molecule: ribosomal RNA, 502 nt
Filed under: uncultured bacterium
Lineage: Bacteria
Description: partial 16S ribosomal RNA
Rfam family: Bacterial small subunit ribosomal RNA
Source: RNAcentral
AUUGAACGCUGGCGGCGUGCCUAACACAUGCAAGUCGAGCGGUAACAGGUGUAGCAAUACAUGCUGACGAGCGGCGAACGGGUGAGUAAUGCUUCGGAAUCUACCUUAUGGUGGGGAAUAACUAGCCGAAAGGUUAGCUAAUACCGCAUACGUCCUACGGGAGAAAGCAGGGGAUCGCAAGACCUUGCGCCAAAAGAUGAGCCGAAGUCGGAUUAGCUAGUUGGGAGGGUAACGGCCUACCAAGGCGACGAUCCGUAGCUGGUCUGAGAGGACGACCAGCCACACUGGGACUGAGACACGGCCCAGACUCCUACGGGAGGCAGCAGUGGGGAAUAUUAGACAAUGGGGGAAACCCUGAUCCAGCGACGCCGCGUGUGUGAAGAAGGCCUGCGGGUUGUAAAGCACUUUUAGUGGGGAUGAAAUGUGCAGGGUUAAUACCUCUGCAUUUUGACCUAACCCACAGAAAAAGCACCGGCUAACUCUGUGCCAGCAGCCGCGGUAA